GGUAAUAGCCGCAAGGCCACGGAAGAGUGCGCAGGCCGGACCUGCGAGCUGAACAUCGCACCCCGGACUGAGCUGAAACCUACUCCACGCGUUUAAGGCAAGGAUUUCCAAUCUGGCAUAGGAGACAAACAAUACUAUGAAUGUGUUGGGGUCCGGCCUCUGUGCUGUGGGAGCCAGGAACUGUAUUGUCGAGUUCAGGGUGCCAGCAUAUGCUACACUAACCACUAGAGGGCAGUAGCACCCUAACGACAGCCGUGCCGACCCAGCGGUCUCUCCCUCAUCAGCCAACCAGCCUUCUUUGGAGACACCGGACCUAGAAGGGAAUCAAUCUAUGCUCAGGGACGCUGGUGGCAGUAACAGGGAGCCAGGAGCCCAAAUGGCUGACAGAAUGGAUGCAAUGGAUGCAACAUCCACGGUUUCUCUGUAUAGCCCUGGCUGUCCUGGAACUCACUCUGUAGACCAGGCUGGCCUUGAACUCAGAAAUCCGCCUGCCUCGGCCUCCCAAGUGCUGGGAUUAUAGGUGUGCGCCACCACCGCCCAUGUGGAUCCCGGGCAUCAGGCUUGGUGGCAACUACUGGCUCAGCGCAGGGACACCUACGAAGAUUAUGUGUGACCACACUGAGUCACUUGGACCAGUGGGAAACCUGCUGCCUUACACAGUAAGGGAAAGGCUCAUCAACCCGCUGAGAGAUUUCUCAGAGGUAGAAGAUGACAAACAUUUAAAAAGUCAUCUCCCUGCUCGACAGUCUAUAGCCUCGGAAGAGGGAAUCUCCUUAAAGUGCUCUGGAAAGUAUAUGCCUGCGUCCUACUAGCUAGCAUUCAGACAUACUCCUGCCUCUGCUGCUGCCUCUGCUUCACCAGAUGUCACCCUUAAACUUCCUCAGGGCUUGUGGGAAAGCCCUCACGUGACCAAAGCACUCCCACCGGUCCCUACUGGCCUUGGCUAAUCUGAAUAUGUUGAUGUGGCUCAGGCCUCUCCUGUAUUCACUUUCCUAAGCAAGUGUGGGGUCUGUAAGAAAGACCUUGGUCUUUCAACUCUACCCCUGCUCCUCCCCCCUCCCCCUCCCAUCAGCCUGGUGACAAUGUGGAAUAUGGAGCCACCAGUGAGAAGCUGUGCAACCUUGACAAGUCCUUUACUUUAUCUGGGCAGAUGGGAUCCUUUGGUACCCACUCUCCUCACUGGGCUUUGGAAACAGGGAGUCUAUGUCUAAUGCAGGACGAUGGGCCUGGCUUCCCAAGCAGGUGACUGCUUCAGUUUCCAGCGCCUGCCUUGGAUGGGAGGGGUCAGAUGUGCUCUAAAUGCUGAGUUUGCCCCGGACUCUUUGGCAUCACACUCCAAGGCAGACCGAAGGUUCUUUAUAAUCUCAGAUAUUCACACGUUUGCUUUGAGACACUGUUUGAUGAAGAGGUACUUUGGGAUACAUUUGGUAGAUGUUAGACAUCUUGCCCUUUCCCCACUUCUGGUCACAUUUGGGACAAAGAGUGUGUGUACCUUCUUUUUUUUUUGUUUGUUUGGGUUUUUUUUUUUUGUUUGUUUGUUUUUUUGAGAUAGGUUUCUCUGUGUAGUCCUGGCUGUCCUGGAACUGUAGACCAGGCUGGCCUUGAACUCAGAAAUUCAAGUGCUGGGAUUAAAGGCGUGUGCCACCACCGCCCGGCCUGUGUACCUUCUA
Apodemus sylvaticus (European woodmouse) is the source of this 1670-nucleotide long non-coding RNA. RefSeq lists it as uncharacterized. Lineage: Eukaryota; Metazoa; Chordata; Mammalia; Rodentia; Muridae. The transcript has 3 exons. The record is from RefSeq and is a predicted model, not a curated record.